CUCCCCACUCAUGCAUAUGCUCCUCAAGGGAUGGCAACAUGUCUCUAUUGUUUACCACCCUGUCCUGAAUGCAGGGGCCCUGACUCAGAGAAGACUCCGGGUAAUUAUUUACCAUUUGAAGAAUGAAUGGCUUCCUAAGUUUGUGCACCUAGAGCUCUCUGGCCUUCAGCUGCUUCAUCUGUGAAUGUAAUGACUGAUUAACGAACGAAGACUCCACCUUCUCUUCCUCUCGUGGAUCCCAGCGAACUUCCAGGGCAUGGGUUGGCAUAGGUUUGAAGAAGGUUUCUCGGCCUCUGCACUGUCUACAUUUUGGGCCCGCUGAGUCUUUGUAGUUGGGGCUGGCCUGUGCAUUGUAGGAUGUUUAGCAGUUUCCCUGGUGUCCACCUACCAGAUGCCAGUUGCACCUACCAAGUUCUGACACCCAAAAUGUCUUCAGACAUCGCCAAAUGUCCCCUGGGGGACAAAAAUCACCCCUGGUUGAGAACCACUGGGUUGGAAUACAAGCCUGAAAAACCGCUCCCAGUCUGCCAGGUAAGUGACCCACACUUGCUUUACAAAACCCCAUGCACGGAGCAACAGAACCUUGGGACCUGGGACUAAGCUUGUAGCUCCGUGUUGAAAGCCUGCAGCGUCACUUGCAUUUUAAAUCAAGGCUCGGUGGAGAUUCCAGUUACAGCCUGCAACUGCAUCUGCCUUGGGCUUCCUCCUAAUUUUAACCAGCAGCUGGAUUUGCAUAGGACAUUUGCAUCUGAAAUUACCCAUGAUUCUUUGGGAGCCAUAGUCUACAGCAGAUGAUGGCAAAAAAUAUAUAUAAUUCCAUUUCAGCUUGCAAAGUAGGGGGGAGGAAGGAGAUGAAGACUUCAGGGAGGGAGGGUACUUUAAGAAAAUUUCAGUGCUUUAUAUAAUUGGUUAGAGAGGUUGGAAAUAGAUGCCCUGCUGGUCACUGGCAGAGAGAACUGUCCUGGC
RNAcentral lists this long non-coding RNA (966 nucleotides) under Homo sapiens (human). Its description in RNAcentral is "HSALNT0002465". The record is from RNAcentral. Lineage: Eukaryota; Metazoa; Chordata; Mammalia; Primates; Hominidae.